Molecule: ribosomal RNA, 401 nt
Filed under: uncultured bacterium
Lineage: Bacteria
Description: bacterial SSU rRNA
Rfam family: Bacterial small subunit ribosomal RNA
Source: RNAcentral
UCGGGAAUUUUGGGCAAUGGGCGAAAGCCUGACCCAGCAACGCCGCGUGAGGGAUGAAGUAUUUCGGUAUGUAAACCUCGAAAGAAUGGGAAGAAUAAAUGACGGUACCAUUUAUAAGCUCCGGCUAACUACGUGCCAGCAGCCGCGGUAAUACGUAGGGAGCAAGCGUUGUUCGGAUUUACUGGGCGUAAAGGGCGCGUAGGCGGCGCGGUAAGUCACUUGUGAAAUCUCUGAGCUUAACUCAGAACGGCCAAGUGAUACUGCUGUGCUAGAGUGCGGAAGAGGCAACCGGAAUUCUUGGUGUAGCGGUGAAAUGCGUAGAUAUCAAGAGGAACACCUGAGGCGAAGGAGGGUUGCUAGGCUGACACUGACGCUGAGGCGCGAAAGCCAGGGGAGCAAAC